This 238-nucleotide long non-coding RNA is filed under the name Glycine max (soybean). RNAcentral describes it as "long non-coding RNA (GMAX_LNC000118)". Lineage: Eukaryota; Viridiplantae; Streptophyta; Magnoliopsida; Fabales; Fabaceae. The record is from RNAcentral.
UACGGCUCAGCAGUCAAUUCUUUUUUUGUUCUAUUAUCUUGAAGUUAACUAAAAGAAAAAAAGAAGUUAUUUACAUAAGUUUCAAACUUGAAUUUGGACUAAUAAAGAAUUUCUUUUUAAGUUUUAUCUUUUCUCCUACCUUCAGAAAAGGGAAUAAAGCAUCGGCAUUAACACCCUCAUUAGAAUUUUCUGAAAAGUAACUAUCUCUAUUUUAUAUAUCAUAUACUUUAUAAUAUAU